CCCUAUUAUUAUAAUAAAUUAAAGAUUAUUAUAUUUGAAAAUUAAUAAUUUUGGCGGUUAAUUUUUUUUAGAGGAGCUUGUAUAGACAGAAUUAGCUCUUUAAAUUUUAAUAUUAAUAUAAUUUAUUCAUCUCCGUUAUCAAAAUUAAUUUAAUAAGUAAUUUUCUUAAAAUAUCAGGUCAAGAUGUAGUUUUUAUUAACUUGAUAUUAGCUACAAUUAUAAAAUAAAUGGAUUUUAGAAUUAUAAAGAUUGUUAAUUAAAUUUGAAUUUGAAUUUAAUUGUAAUAAUAAUUAGAAAGUUGUUAUGAAUUUGAUUUAUUGAUGUA
RNAcentral lists this ribosomal RNA (325 nucleotides) under Acanthogonyleptes fulvigranulatus. RNAcentral describes it as "partial 12S ribosomal RNA". Lineage: Eukaryota; Metazoa; Arthropoda; Arachnida; Opiliones; Gonyleptidae. The record is from RNAcentral.